RNAcentral lists this ribosomal RNA (300 nucleotides) under uncultured Thermococcus sp. RNAcentral describes it as "bacterial SSU rRNA". It matches the Rfam family "Bacterial small subunit ribosomal RNA", at positions 496 to 795 of the family's 1533-position model. The record is from RNAcentral. Lineage: Archaea; Methanobacteriati; Methanobacteriota; Thermococci; Thermococcales; Thermococcaceae.
GCUAAUUGGGGGCGGGGAGGGGUGGGAAUACGUAGGGGGCAAGCGGUUGCCGGGUUCAUUGGGCGGAAAGAGCGGGUAGGCGGCCAGGUAGGUCGGUUGUGAAAACUGGGGGCGCAACCUUCAGGGGUCGACCGAAACCAGCUGGCUAGAGUCCGGGAGAGGAGAGUGGAAUUCCUGGGGUAGCGGUGAAAUGCGCAGAUAUCAGGAAGAACACCCGUGGCGAAAGCGGCUCUCUGGAACGGUACUGACGCUGAGACGCGAAAGCGUGGGGAGCGAACAGGAUUAGAUACCCGAGUAGUC